This is a small nuclear RNA of Phacochoerus africanus (Common warthog), 111 nucleotides long. The record is from RefSeq and is a predicted model, not a curated record. NCBI's taxonomy places the organism in Eukaryota, Metazoa, Chordata, Mammalia, Artiodactyla, Suidae.
GUGCUCGCUUUGGCAGCACACAUACUAAAAUUGGAACGAUACAGAGAAGAUUAAUUAGCAUGGUCCCUGCGCAAGGAGGACAUGCAAAUUCGUGAAGCAUUCCAUAUUUUU